This 476-nucleotide ribosomal RNA is filed under the name uncultured bacterium. Its description in RNAcentral is "bacterial SSU rRNA". It matches the Rfam family "Bacterial small subunit ribosomal RNA", at positions 30 to 492 of the family's 1533-position model. The record is from RNAcentral.
AUUGAACGCUGGCGGCAUGCUUUACACAUGCAAGUCGAACGGCAGCACGGGUGCUUGCACCUGGUGGCGAGUGGCGGACGGGUGAGUAAUGCAUCGGAACGUGUCCUAAAGUGGGGGAUAACGCAUCGAAAGAUGUGCUAAUACCGCAUAUUCUCUGAGGAGGAAAGUAGGGGAUCGAAAGACCUUAUGCUUUUGGAGCGGCCGAUGUCUGAUUAGCUAGUUGGUAGGGUAAUGGCUUACCAAGGCGACGAUCAGUAGUUGGUCUGAGAGGACGACCAGCCACACUGGGACUGAGACACGGCCCAGACUCCUACGGGAGGCAGCAGUGGGGAAUUUUGGACAAUGGGCGCAAGCCUGAUCCAGCAAUGCCGCGUGAGUGAAGAAGGCCUCGGUUGUAAGACGUCUUUCUAGUUGAGAAGAAAAAGUACGUAGACUAAUAAUACAUGAUUCAUGACGGUAUACAACAGAAAGAAGAC